GUAAAAUCCAUGGUUCCUGUUGCUGAAGGCGUCUUUAAGGCUCGAACAAUACUCUAUCAUGGCGUUUCUGCAUUAAUGCAACGUUUCCCAACUUGGGCAUGCAAAUACUGUCCAGAAGUAUAUAUUGGUGAGAACGGUCAUUUGAUACAAACUUGUCAUGGUUACCGGCGGCGCGCUAAGAACCAGGCUCAUGAGUGGAUUAGAG
This 205-nucleotide unclassified non-coding RNA is filed under the name Hevea brasiliensis (rubber tree). The record is from RNAcentral. Lineage: Eukaryota; Viridiplantae; Streptophyta; Magnoliopsida; Malpighiales; Euphorbiaceae.